This 386-nucleotide unclassified non-coding RNA is filed under the name fungal sp. Its description in RNAcentral is "partial internal transcribed spacer region". The stretch from base 1 to 46 matches the Rfam family "Eukaryotic small subunit ribosomal RNA", at positions 1786 to 1831 of the family's 1831-position model. Lineage: Eukaryota; Fungi. The record is from RNAcentral.
AAGUCGUAACAAGGUUUCCGUAGGUGAACCUGCGGAAGGAUUAUUAAGAAUCUUGCGUAUUAUACGUACUGCCGCCGUGCUAGUCUAACUAGCACGGCCUGCAGGUUGUGGCAAGUGGCUUGGCCGACAUGGAAUUGCGCCUCAUGGAUGUUUACCCCAUGUUAGGUUUAGUCGUCGGACUACCGAACAUUUUCAUAACCAGGUUACCAACGGCUUUAACGGGCCGCUCACGACUAAGUCCUUAUUUAUACUAGUACCUUACCAUAACUAUCCUUUGGUGGCGACCUCUGCUGCUGUUGGAACACCUAAACCCUUUUUGCAUCUAGCAUUACCUGUUUAGAUAAAAAUAAUCGUUACAACUUUCAACAAUAGAUCUCUUGGCUCUA